UCAAGAGUACGUGAAACCGUUCAGGGGUAAACGGGAGAAAUCCUGAAUUCGAAAGGGGUUGGAUUCAUGUCUUCCGACGUAACAGUACGGUCACACCAUGAUGGUGCUGGUCGCCCGCGGCGAUUAAUUUCGCNNNCGGUGUCGUUUCUGGCGUCCACUUGGCAGCUGGCAUGUCACUUCGCGGAGGACUGCACUUCUCCCCUAGUAGAAACGUCGCGACCCGUUGGGUGCCGGNNAAAGGCCUGGGUAGGAAGACCGCGUGUCCUGUGUGGGUUCCAUGGGCAUGCGGACNNCUGGUGACCCGGCCGGCUGCCCGACGGUAUGACCCGAGGAGUCGAUCCGCUAAAUGGGAAACACUAUGGUUGUGAAGCGUGCG
Molecule: ribosomal RNA, 376 nt
Filed under: Pulchriphyllium bioculatum
Lineage: Eukaryota; Metazoa; Arthropoda; Insecta; Phasmatodea; Phylliidae
Description: partial large subunit ribosomal RNA
Source: RNAcentral